UUUCCAUGUCACACAACUUCUCUGAGAGACUGUGUAUGUACAAUAUUCAUAUGUGCCGUGUACUGUAAAUUUAUAUGGAUGAUGGUCCCAUGUCCCAUGCUGCAUAUUUAUAUGGUUGAUGGUCUGAUGUCCCAUCCAUAUGCGUCAGGCCGUGCCUGGUCGCAGAGUCCGCUCGUUUGCUGGCAAUUGCUGCCAGCUGUGCUCAUAAUUUGAUAUGCGCCAAAUUUGAUUCGAGUUUUGCUCUUUACUCGCUCAGACGUCGCUUUAAUUAGCUACAGUUGCUGACUUUUUAAUGGACAGCAGUGGCCGAGGGAUGGGACACGCCGCAGGGCGAGGGCUACAGGGGAGUACAUCCAGCUCUUAGUUUCAGUUUAUAUUACGGACGGACAUGGGUUCGGGACUCUCGUUCCCUUCUUAUCAAUUGCGCUUAAAUCGCGGACAUCAAUUACGCGUCUGGCACGUUGCCCUGGCAGGCCUAUCAAUAAAAUGUGCCGCGUUUCAAGUUACGUUCUUUUUUGUUCGUGUCUGUUUUUUUUUUCGUAGCGAUUUAAUUGAAACACAAGCCAGGCACACAGGCAUAGCUCCAGGUCGAGGUCCAGGGCUCCGGCUAAGCAGGGAACACAAACCCAGGCAUUAAAUUUAAGCCGUAGACAUAGACAACGACCGCAUGGAAAUUAAUAUCGAGGGUCUCCAUGCUCUUUCGCGAGAGAUUUAAGCCUCCACUUGGUGACCGACCACUGUGUGAGCGGAAUGGGAGUGGAAUCGGAGCUGUACCUUGGGAGUGACAGUGGAAUCGGAGCUGUAUGUACCUUGGAAGUGGUGGUAAUGCCUGGCCUGGUAAUUGAGUAAGUGAAGCUCUAUGGGCAGCAGUCACUUUUGUGCGGGUCUUGAUUUGCGCUCAACAGAUAAUUACACCACACAACAGGAAAAUAUUUCUGAUAUUUAUUUAUAAGCAACCAAUAAAUAAUUUUCAAUCCACAACCAAAUGUAUUUAUUACCUUUAUACUUACACAAGCACUUACAUAACUG
RNAcentral lists this long non-coding RNA (1029 nucleotides) under Drosophila guanche. The record is from RNAcentral. Lineage: Eukaryota; Metazoa; Arthropoda; Insecta; Diptera; Drosophilidae.